UAUUGUUUUGUAUGCUUCCUUUACUCCAGCAACAUCAAAAUACUGCUAUUCAGAUGUUAUGCAUGCUUUCCCAUGUCAUAAUAAAUCAUGCUGCAGAUGAGCGAAUCAGUUUGGAAGAACUUCAUGAGAAGAUCAUGCCUGAAACUGGUUACCAAUUAUUACACAACUAUACUGACCAAAUUCAAAAUUGGAGUUUGAUCUGCAAAGUUCAUUCUCAAGCUUCAAUAUCAUCUACCAGGUUGAAUGUAAUAUGGAUGAUUUGUACACGGAUGGAGAAAUCCUCAGCAUUCUCUAACAUUGAAAGGAAGGAGCAGAAACCUCACUGGCUCAUGGAUCAGGUGCUGGAAUAUUUUUUGAUUUAUUGCCCAUCUGUGUAGCUAUUUUAAUGGCUUAGUGUAGAGAUUCUAUACAUUGGUGCUUUUAUGGAGUUAACAUUGCAAUGCGAUUUUUUUUUAUAAAUGCAGUACUGUUAAUUGCAAAAGAUAUAGACUCACUUAAUCCUGAAUACAGACUGGUAUAUGUAUCAACUAUCAAUUAUACUACUCACAUAUCUACUCUGUCCCUCCAGCGUAUCUUCUCUUUAUAGGAGCAAGUUUUUGGUUGUUAUUUCGUGAGCAGGUUGCUUGGAUUAGUUUCUAUGUGGAGUAGUUGCUUGAAAAUCCAAAAUGAAAUGAACAGGCACCUCUCUUUAUCUGGUAACAUUAGGUAUUCCCCUCCCAGUAGUAAAAAUUUAUAGCUUCACAACCUGUCAACCCGACUAGUGGAAUUCCACCGACUAUGCAAGCGCUCUUAAGAAGGGAAGUUUGCAGACCGUUGCUCUCUUGGCUACGCUGCCACCUGAUGGAUCACUAAUUGAAGUGACCAAGGGAGUUGAAGCCUCUCAUAAGUUGCCUUGAGGGAACUUGAACGUGGUCCUGGAACGAGAUAUUGCGACAUAAAUGAGCCUCUCUUUAGAACCAAGCGCUUCUAUGAAGUCCCUUCUUCCCUUGUUUCUUGCCGUUCCA
This 1004-nucleotide unclassified non-coding RNA is filed under the name Hevea brasiliensis (rubber tree). The record is from RNAcentral. Lineage: Eukaryota; Viridiplantae; Streptophyta; Magnoliopsida; Malpighiales; Euphorbiaceae.